GUCCCUUUCGUCUAGUGGUCUAGGACGUUGUUUUUUCAGGACAAAUACGCAGGUUCGAACCCUGUAAGGGAUG
RNAcentral lists this transfer RNA (73 nucleotides) under Eukaryota sp. BB2. RNAcentral describes it as "tRNA-Glu". It matches the Rfam family "tRNA". From Rfam's summary of the family: Transfer RNA (tRNA) molecules are approximately 80 nucleotides in length. Their secondary structure includes four short double-helical elements and three loops (D, anti-codon, and T loops). The record is from RNAcentral.